Molecule: small nucleolar RNA, 178 nt
Filed under: Ustilaginoidea virens
Lineage: Eukaryota; Fungi; Ascomycota; Sordariomycetes; Hypocreales; Clavicipitaceae
Source: RNAcentral
UCGUCUUCUGCCAUUGCUCGGUCAAGCCUCUUCGAUGGAGCGACCUUGAGCCGGAUGCCCGACGCCUCGGCGUACAGGUAUGAGACGAGAACAACUCUAGACAACGUUUUUUGAGUACGAAGCCUUUCGUGAUGCUUCACUAAGUGGAGGUCUUCGUAAUUUAUAUGUUGUUACAUUU